GAGUGGCGCUGAGCAGCGGGUACUGAAUCCGCCGUCUGCAAGCGAGGCCGGCAGUCUCCAGAACAGGUGAGGCUUCCCUGCGGGGAUGCCCCGAGCUCUGCUCUUGGGCAGGACAACCAACACCCUUGUCUUCAUGCUCUCCUACUUUAAGCUUGAAAUACUGCAUGUGGUAUGAUUAAAAAGAUCUUGGUGUAGCACAUUCAGGGCCUGCCCAGGGGAGUCAUGAGGCCGGGGCAGCUCAGGGGGAGCCUGGUGUCCCUGCCGGGCAUGUGGCCUGAGCUUCCUCAGUCUGUGCUGAGUGAAUGGGUCCCUUGGCUCCUCUCCGUCACUGAUUCUGCCCCUGCUUGUUCUCAGUAGAGCAGGUCAGGGAGAAGGAGGUGUGUAUAAAUCUCCCACUGCCUGUUUUUGGUUCUCGGCAUGGCUGGGAUGCAGCUGAGCAAAACAAUUUACAUGCUCAGAUCUAGGAGGCCUUUUGCACCUCAAAGUCCCUUGCCUCUUCUGAGUUUUUGCUGGCAUUUCCUUCGAGUUCGGCCUGCAGGCCCCAGCCUGAGCUCCCACUUCCCUUCCCUGGUUAGAACUGUCCACGCACAUCUGACCCAAGGAGAAGGGGGCCCUCGUGUUAACUGGUGACUUUAGUUUUCAUUGCAAGAACCAGGAGCUGUGGGACACCUGAGUUUCAUGGAGAUUCUGGACACAUCGCUCAAGGUCAGCUUGUAAGAGCCCCUGGAGAAAAAUGGCAUCAUUACAGGCUUAAUCUGAUCACUCCAAAAUGCUCAGAACUGGUUGCUCUUUCAAGGACAACUUGAUUAGUUCCUUCAGACGUUCCUGAAAACACGUCUGCUGAGGCCGUCAGCUCCACCCAGAUUUUACUGACGUGGGCUUUGGUGCCUGAACAGGACCAGAACGGGCUCAUACUGGGCUACAAGCUUAGUAACCAGAGGCAGAAUUCGGUGGCCCCGGAAUGACUGUAAUACACAUCCUCCCGUCUCUGUAUGCAUUGCUCCGAGCCCAUUGCCUCUCAUCUGGGAGUCAGCCCCGGGCCUGCCAGUGAGGCUCGUGUUGCCAGAAGUGACACUCAGUCCGUGUGGAUGGUGUGGCAGCCGCCAGAGGAGCCCAACGGCAUCGCUCUGGAUCCUGUCGGAUGAGCCGGGAUCCCAAACACCUGUUAGGCCCCACACCUUGUGCUCCAGACCUGGGGCGGGAGAUGGUCUGCAGAGUGCAUGGAUGGGCCAGAAGUCUCCUGGAGCCCCUCAGCACCACGCCCCGGCUUCUGCCUCUUCUGGACAGAGCAGAGCUAAACAUCUGAUGACCCAGUGGGUGUCCCCAGCUUGCUGUGAGACAGGAAACCUUUCUGGAGCACAGAAUGUGAAUUCUGGCCUGUCACAGUACCUGGAGUCUCCAAGAAGCAGAAUCUCCCCAUCCUGCUGAGGAGGGAGGCCCCAUCCCCACCCCGCCCUGGGCCUGGCAGCUCCGGCUCCCACCGCUCCUGCUGCUCCCACCACAGCCUCUGCCCUCUGCCCUCUGCUCCAGUACUGCGGUGCUAAUUCUGUGCCCACCUCUGCACUCCCUGUAGCCAUCCUGGGCCGAUAGGAGUCAUUCUGACAGGAGGACCCCUGGGAGAGGGAUGGGAGGCCAGUGAGCAUUUCACAUGUGUGUGUCUCUUACUGUAGACAGACAUGCAUUCUGAUUUCGUAGCCAUGGCUUUGAACUACUCAUCCUGGGUCUUCCUCGCAAACAUGGGGAGGUUGUGGCCUGAGCCAGGGCCAGCCCACUGUGCUUGCUGGUCCUUUGCCCCUUCUGUGCCUCUAAAGUCUACAUUCGAUGUGACUCCAUGGCCGUCCCUGCCUGGUUGUGCCCACUGUCAUCACAGGUCUCACUGUCCAAAGAUAAAAUCUCAUCACGUACUUUGAAGGGCAUCUGUAACGUUUGUGCAUCUGUUUGAGAAAGCACUGUGAAAGGAGAAUUCAGACCAUGAUGGGGUAGCAUUUACAUUAUUCAGAUUGGGAGUCCUAGAAAGUCUUGAUACGACCCAGGUGAGAUGGGUAAGUGGGCAAACACAUGCUCAUAUGCUCCCGGAGAAUGAUAUGGUCAUGUCUGGGCGAGGUGACCACAUCUGUCCUCUCCAUCCCGGAGGCCCUUCCCAUCGGGUCUUAAACCCUGGUGUUCUCACACCUGUACCCAAGGAGACACACACGGGACACUCUUGCAGUGUCAUGUUCAAUAACAGGGAAAAACAAAGAGCCAGAUACCCAAGUGUCCAUCAAUCAGGCAACAGAAAUGUGUAUCCUGGGCUCUUCACGCAACAGAAAACAUGAUAGCAGUUACAGGAAUGACCAAGAUCUACACGAGCCAACGUGAGGAAGUCUCACAAGCAUGUGUUCAGGGGGAAAACAAGUUGCAGGAGAAUCCACAGAGCGUGAGAAUGUUC
Molecule: long non-coding RNA, 2428 nt
Organism: Ursus maritimus (polar bear)
Lineage: Eukaryota; Metazoa; Chordata; Mammalia; Carnivora; Ursidae
Source: Ensembl